AUUGAACGCUGGCGGCAUGCCUUACACAUGCAAGUCGAACGGCAGCACGGACUUCGGUCUGGUGGCGAGUGGCGAACGGGUGAGUAAUGCAUCGGAACGUGCCAUUGAGUGGGGGAUAACGUAGCGAAAGUUGCGCUAAUACCGCAUAUUCUGUGAGCAGGAAAGCAGGGGACCGCAAGGCCUUGCGCUCUUUGAGCGGCCGAUGUCAGAUUAGCUAGUUGGUGAGGUAAAGGCUUACCAAGGCGACGAUCUGUAGCGGGUCUGAGAGGAUGACCCGCCACACUGGAACUGAGACACGGUCCAGACUCCUACGGGAGGCAGCAGUGGGGAAUUUUGGACAAUGGGGGCAACCCUGAUCCAGCCAUGCCGCGUGAGUGAAGAAGGCCUUCGG
Molecule: ribosomal RNA, 391 nt
Filed under: uncultured bacterium
Lineage: Bacteria
Description: bacterial SSU rRNA
Rfam family: Bacterial small subunit ribosomal RNA
Source: RNAcentral